AGCGCAGCAGGCGAGAAAACUUUGCAAUGUGCGAAAGCACGACAAGGUUAAUCCGAGUGAUUUCUGCUAAAGGAAUCUUUUGUUAGUCGUAGAACCACUAGUGAAUAAGGGGUGGGCAAGUUCUGGUGUCAGCCGCCGCGGUAAAACCAGCACCUCAAGUGGUCAGGAGGAUUAUUGGGCCUAAAGCAUCCGUAGCCGGCUAGGUAAGUUUUCUGUUAAAUCCAUGCGCUUAACGUAUGGGCUGCAGGGAAUACUGCCUAGCUAGGGAGUGGGAGAGGUAGACGGUACUCCGUAGGAAGGGGUAAAAUCCUUUGAUCUAUGGAUGACCACCUGUGGCGAAGGCGGUCUACUAGAACACGUCCGACGGUGAGGGAUGAAAGCUGGGGGAGCAAACCGGAUUAGAUACCCCGGU
This 412-nucleotide ribosomal RNA is filed under the name uncultured bacterium. Its description in RNAcentral is "bacterial SSU rRNA". It matches the Rfam family "Archaeal small subunit ribosomal RNA", at positions 329 to 742 of the family's 1478-position model. The record is from RNAcentral.